AUACGGAGGAUCCGAGCGUUAUCCGGAUUUAUUGGGUUUAAAGGGAGCGUAGGUGGACAGUUAAGUCAGUUGUGAAAGUUUGCGGCUCAACCGUAAAAUUGCAGUUGAUACUGGCUGUCUUGAGUACAGUAAAGGUGGGCGGAAUUCGUGGUGUAGCGGUGAAAUGCUUAGAUAUCACGAAGAACUCCGAUUGCGAAGGCAGCUCACUGGACUGCAACUGACACUGAUGCUCGAAAGUGUGGGUAUCAAACAGGAUUAGAUACCCUGGUAGUCCACACAGUAAACGAUGAAUACUCGCUGUUUGCGAUAUACAGUAAGCGGCCAAGCGAAAGCAUUAAGUAUUCCACCUGGGGAGUACGCCGGCAACGGUGAAACUUAAAGGAAUUGACGGGG
RNAcentral lists this ribosomal RNA (393 nucleotides) under uncultured bacterium. Its description in RNAcentral is "partial 16S ribosomal RNA". It matches the Rfam family "Bacterial small subunit ribosomal RNA", at positions 523 to 918 of the family's 1533-position model. The record is from RNAcentral.